UCCUACGGGAGGCAGCAGUGGGGAAUAUUGCACAAUGGGCGCAAGCCUGAUGCAGCCAUGCCGCGUGUAUGAAGAAGGCCUUCGGGUUGUAAAGUACUUUCAGCAGUGAGGAGGGGGUGGUGUUUAAUAGACACCAUUUUUGACGUUAGCUGCAGAAGAAGCACCUGCUAACUCCGUGCCAGCAGCCGCGGUAAUA
This 196-nucleotide ribosomal RNA is filed under the name uncultured Vibrionaceae bacterium. RNAcentral describes it as "partial 16S ribosomal RNA". It matches the Rfam family "Bacterial small subunit ribosomal RNA", at positions 337 to 525 of the family's 1533-position model. Lineage: Bacteria; Pseudomonadati; Pseudomonadota; Gammaproteobacteria; Vibrionales; Vibrionaceae. The record is from RNAcentral.